ACGAAAGUCCACAAAGUGGACGGAUCACUAAGGUGAUGAAACGUAAGUCCACAAAGUGGACGGAUCACUAAGGUGAUGAAACGUAAGUCCAAAAAGUGGACGGAUCACUAAGGUGAUGAAACAUAAGUCCACAAAGUGGACGGAUCACUAAGGUGAUGAAACGAAAGUCCACAAGGUGGACGGAUCACUAAGGUGAUGAAACGAAAGUCCACAAAGUGGACGGAUCACUAAGGUGAUGAAACGUAAGUCCACAAAGUGGACGGAUCACUAAGGUGAUGAAACGAAAGUCCACAAAGUGGACGGAUCACUAAGGUGAUGAAACGAAAGUCCACAAAGUGGACGGAUCACUAAGGUGAUGAAACGAAAGUCCACAAAGUGGACGGAUCACUAAGGUGAUGAAACGUAAGUCCACAAAGUGGACGGAUCACUAAGGUGAUGAAACGUAAGUCCAAAAAGUGGACGGAUCACUAAGGUGAUGAAACAUAAGUCCACAAAGUGGACGGAUCACUAAGGUGAUGAAACGAAAGUCCACAAAGUGGACGGAUCACUAAGGUGAUGAAACGAAAGUCCACAAAGUGGACGGAUCACUAAGGUGAUGAA
This is a long non-coding RNA of Quercus robur (English oak), 600 nucleotides long. RefSeq lists it as uncharacterized. The transcript has 3 exons. The record is from RefSeq and is a predicted model, not a curated record. NCBI's taxonomy places the organism in Eukaryota, Viridiplantae, Streptophyta, Magnoliopsida, Fagales, Fagaceae.